CCUACGGGUGGCUGCAGUCGAGGAUCUUCGGCAAUGGGCGCAAGCCUGACCGAGCGACGCCGCGUGGGCGAUGAAGGCCUUCGGGUUGUAAAGCCCUGUCGAGGGGGAGAAAAGGGCAACCUUGAUCUAUCCCUGGAGGAAGCACGGGCUAAGUUCGUGCCAGCAGCCGCGGUAAGACGAACCGUGCGAACGUUGUUCGGAAUCACUGGGCUUAAAGGGCGCGUAGGCGGGUGGCCAAGUUCGGGGUGAAAUCCUCCGGCUCAACCGGAGAACGG
Molecule: ribosomal RNA, 275 nt
Filed under: uncultured bacterium
Lineage: Bacteria
Description: partial 16S ribosomal RNA
Rfam family: Bacterial small subunit ribosomal RNA
Source: RNAcentral